UUGUGUUGGGUGAGUUUUCAA
RNAcentral lists this non-coding RNA (21 nucleotides) under Caenorhabditis elegans. The record is from RNAcentral. Lineage: Eukaryota; Metazoa; Nematoda; Chromadorea; Rhabditida; Rhabditidae.